AUACGUAGGUGUCGAGCGUUGUCCGGAUUUAUUGGGCGUAAAGCGCCCGCAGGCGGCCAGGCAAGUCCAGGGUGAAAUCUCCCGGCUCAACCGGGAGGGUGCCCUGGAAACUGCUUGGCUUGAGGCAGGGAGAGGGAGGUGGAAUUCCCGGUGUAGGGGUGAAAUGCGUAGAUAUCGGGAGGAACACCAGUGGCGAAGGCGGCAUCCUGGCCCUGUCCUGACGCUCAGGGGGAAAGCGUGGGGAGCAAACCGGAUUAGAUACCCGGGUAGUCCACGCCGUAAACGAUGAGUACUAGGUGUUGGAGGUAUCGACCCCUUCAGUGCCGAAGCCAACGCGAUAAGUACUCCGCCUGGGGACUACGGCCGCAAGGCUAAA
Molecule: ribosomal RNA, 376 nt
Filed under: uncultured bacterium
Lineage: Bacteria
Description: bacterial SSU rRNA
Rfam family: Bacterial small subunit ribosomal RNA
Source: RNAcentral